Long non-coding RNA from Psammomys obesus (fat sand rat), 10992 nucleotides. RefSeq lists it as uncharacterized. Lineage: Eukaryota; Metazoa; Chordata; Mammalia; Rodentia; Muridae. The transcript is spliced from 4 exons. The record is from RefSeq and is a predicted model, not a curated record.
CUGUCAAUGAGACAGAGUAACCAGGAACUAAUCUUGGGUUAUGAAAAACAUUCUUCAACUACCAGCGGCAGCGUAUUUCAUUAUCUAAGAGUUAUUUCCCGGGAGUAUAUAGAAGGGGACAUCAAAAACAUUCAAAGGAUGCGGGACCAAAGCUAUAAUCCAGCCCUUGGGAGAUGGAAACAGGAGAAUCCUAAAUUCGGGACCAGCCUGGGCUACCCUCCACAAAGCUGACUGGAACUUUAUUAUGUGUCCAAAAGGGUGAAAGGCAUGAGUCCCGGAGUCCACGGGGAAGCAGACUUCUCAAGGACAAGCUAGCCUGGAAGCUCCCCAACAUGAGGUCCUCAGGUCUUGGAAACUCCAUCGACUCCUCUGACGUGAGACUUAGCCAAUGAGCUUAAAGCCUGACUCAGCUCUUCAGCUCCAAGACCAAGUGAUGCUCCAUUCCAACCCAGUCCCAUGAGCAUCCUGAUUAAUAACUUGCCAGAUCGAGACAUCGGUUAUCUGAAGAAACAUCUGCUGCCAUUACAACAGUCGCUCCCAGCUUGACUCUGGCGGUUAGGUGCCUGGCCACACCAGGAGCGUCCUAUGCACUGUGAUCAAGGUAAUCCCCGCAGCAGUGAUCACUGUCUCCACCGCCACAGAGCCUUUCAAGGAUGCUGGCACUCCCCACUCAGCAUUUCAUCACAUCUGGUCCACAGAUACCUUCUCCAGCUUCCCGAUCAACACGGCGGGGGAUGGCAACAAUUGAUGAAUGAGCUUCACAUUCCUCCACGUCUGCGUCAAGAACACUCUAACGUCAGUAUUAUGGAAUACUGAGCCCAGAGUUCAACCAGCCAAGGAAAGCGUCAGAGCCACUCUGGCUGCACCAGCACUUACACGUUCAAUCGAGCAUCGCUUUAAAAGCGUCCGUAUGAGCGCAAUUGGGGUUACCUAACUUUGGCUUGUCUCCUCUCUGGAGUAGCACUCUCCAAAUUAAUUGACAACGUGUUCCUUAGGCUUUUGUACACUAGCAAAAUAUGGAAAUUCUUCCAAAAUAUAAGCCAUAUGCUCCUGCACUAAACUUGGUGUGCGUCUCCUUGGAGCAUGUUGAGAUCUGACUGGUUUUGAAUCUGGAGUCAUCCAUGGGGGUCAGAAAGGGACUUGGAAAGAACAGGCACCCUUCCCAAGGAGGCCUGAUCCCCCCGCCCUCAACCAGGAGGCCUUGGAUCCUCAAGCCAGCCGAGUUUGAGAGAACAGACUUGAAACUGAGUGAAUGCAAUUUUGGGCAUGUUAACACACCCAGAGACUUGACUACAAGAAAAGACAUGAAGAAAUAGUCGUGCUGUUAAGCUGUGCGUGGAGUCAGCACGAGAGUCGCAGCUGUAAAUGCGUUCAGGGUAGAAUGGCCGUGGAAUCUGAGUGUACCCAGUGCAGUGUAGCCCUGCGGAGGCAGACGACAAGAGUGCUGUGUGUUGGUGGUUGGUCUGGUGCUGGGACUGCAAAUGCCGAUUCCAGGGCCUUGAGAUCUGGUUACUGCCCUGCCAGAGGUAUUGUUACAAUGUUGAACUACCUCCUGUACCUAUGUGAUGAAUUAUCCCUGAUUGCUUGAUUAAAAGGCCUGCACUUGGGCAGAGCAGAAGGUGGCAGGUGUGGCUAAGAUUGGGGGCUUUGGAGGACAGAAGGAUCCUGGGACGGACAGGAAGAGUGAAGGAAGGAGGAAGCUGCCAUGGUUAGUGGAGAGAGAACCACGUGGGCCUGGAGGAAGGACUCUGAGAAUGGAGGAAGUGAACCAGAUGAAGAAUAAGCAAGUAUUUAUGGAAUUAUGGAUGGGAGGUGGGCUAGAUAGGAAUCAUCAAAGCAGAUGGAAUGGGCUGGGGGCUGGGAGACACGAGAUAGUGUAGGCGGAAUUAUCUCUUCAGUCCAAAGUGAAAUAAGGCAAUCUCAAAUCUAACAUGUGUCUGUGUCCUUUAUUGAUUAUGAUAGCAGAUUACAUAAUACCACUGUAAUAAUUAUAGGGCUAAUAAUAAAUGUUAUUAGAUCCUACUUAUAAAUUAACAGCAGCAUGCCAAUAAUAAAGUAAUUUGCCAAAGUGGUGAGCAACUUUUGAUAAUAUUCAAAACAAAAUAAUGUAUUAUUUCUCUUCAUAUGAAAUUUUAUUGCAUACUGACUAUUCAAUCAGUGGUAUGUAUUUUACCUCUAUGAAUGCCAUCCAAAAAUUGAAAGUUUAUGGAGGAAAGAGGUAGUUAACAUUUCAUGGCUGUGCACUGGAUAUUGUGAGACUAGCCCUUCUCAAGAUCCCAAAGGAACUGUGAGGAGAGGGUAAUUCCAUCUUUGUGGUGACUAGCCAGCCAGAGUGUCUUCCUCCAGAGCCUGGCAUGAAGAGUCCAAAUCUCACCAUGAGUGAAAUUGGAAGCCAGGUGGACUUUUGUUGUUGCUGUGUUUGUUUGGGGUUUUUGCUUGUUUGUUUGUUUCCUGAUAGGCUCCCAUAGGCUGGCCUUGAACUCAUGAUUCUCCCCUUCGGCCUGCUUAAUGGUGAGAUGGCAGGUAUGUACCCCUAGGACCAGCUACCCCAGGGGCUUCUGUGUGGAGAACAGAUGGGGAAAACAAGAAUGGCAGUGGAAAACCUAGACUAGAGGUCCCAGUAUUCCAGAAAAGUUGACUACUGUAGUUACUUUACCAAAAGAACUCAAGGGAGGGAAGAUUUAUUUUGCUUUUUGGUUUCUAGGUUUCAGGUCAAGUUUGCUUGGGCAAUAUGGUGGCUGUUCUUUAUUUAGAGAGAGCAAAAAAUAGAGAAACAACUUUUAGGAAUGAGCCAGGGCAAGCAGAGCCUCCAAGGACCCACAUAAAGGGCUUGGCAUGGUGACAUGUACUUGCAAUCCCAGGUGCGGGGAAAGACAGGUGGAAAUAACGGAUCGCUGGAGUCCAUGUCAGCUAGACUAACCGAAUCAGUGUGUUUUCAGGUAACAUAAGAGAACUGUCUUAGAAGUUACAGUAGAGAGUGACUUAAGGAGAUACCCAAUGUUGACUCCUGACCUACACACACACACAAACACACAGGCACACACUCCAAUUUGAAGUGCAAAUAAAGUGAAUAGAGAAGGUAGCUGACACAAAGAGAUAGCUGUGACCGUGUUCUGGAAAUUCCAACGAGGCAAUCCGUCUCUUGGGAUGACUUGAUCAGAAAAUUGGAAGACUAGAGGGUCCUUAUGAUAGUGUGAGAGACUGAGUUUGCUCUUAUGAAGUUAAACAGUUUUGAUGACGAGAAAUUCAGGUACCAAGAUGGAGCAAAUGAGCAGAGACAGAGAGAAGUCAAGGCCCGGAGAGCUUUGGAGUGGGAAGGGCUGCCCAGAUGGACUUGGAAGCUCUUGGCAAGGCGGACUUGUGAGGGCAGUGUAAACCAGGUAGAAGUCACAGAGAGCUGUGUUGUGGUAAAUUUAUGGUCUCAGGCCAAAGCUUAUUAUUAACGCUAUAAUUAUUAUGGUGAUAUUAUCUAACCCGCUAUCACAAUCAGUAAGACACAGACACCUGUUAGACUUUAUAAUUGCCUUAUAACACCUUGGGCCAGGCAGAUAUUCUACCUACGCUGUCUGAAUGGCUUCACCAUCCACGUCCCUGCCCCCAUCCUGUGCCUUCCUCCUUCACCAUUCCUUUCUGGGCCGCCUUCCAUCAUAGUUUUAUAAACACUUGCUUGUGUUUUUCAUCUGAGCCUUUCCAUGACAUUCUUGGAGUCCUUUCUCAUGGCCCACAUGGUUCCUUUGAUGCUAAUCCAUCAUGAUGUCCUCCUUCCUCCUCUCUCAAGUCUCUGUCUCCUCCCCAUGAUUCUCCUGUCCCUGAAGCCCAGGAACCUUAGCCACGCCUACCUCCUUCUACCCUGCCCAGGUACAGGCCUUUUAACCAACCAAUCAGGAAUAAUGUUUACACAACAAAGAUAGGGUAGUAACCAGAUCUUGAGGCCCAGCAAUUAGCAUUAAAAUACAAGCAUCAGACCAACCCCCAACUGGUGGGAGGCUGUGGCCAGGAAGUGUACACAUGGCAGCAUUUAGGAGGGUGGUAGUUGGUAUAGUCAAAAGGCUCAAAGGUAAACGUUGGAGGGAUUUUUACAUGAGAGCAGAAAGGCAAGUCUAGCAGUGGCACUGGGGAGAGAGGCCACAACCCAAAGGUCACAUGGCUCAGACUUCACUUCUCAGGUGAGGGGAAGAAGGAGCAUUAGCCAACCUCUAAGACAUCCUCCAUGUUCCUGCCUGCGGUGCUCACACCUGCGGCGUGUCAGGGUCCGCUCGAGGAAGGCGCAGCGCAGUAGAGCUGGUGCUGUGUUGCCUGUAAGCCUGGGCUACAGUGCUGUUGCAGCCUCUGCCCAGUUCCCUGGUUUUCUUUGGGAGAAGACAGUUGCCAUAGCAUAAGCUGCCCUGUGGAGAGGCCCUCAGGUCAGGAACUGAAGCUGUUGAUGAUGGCUUUGUGAGUGACCUCGGCAGCAGCCUCCAACCCAGCCAGCCUUCAGAUGCCAGAGCAGUACCUCAUCUUCUUUGCUGUCUCUUAGCAGUGGAGACACUUCCAAACCGCCUACAGAAACUGGGGGAUCAUAGUGCUCCUUGUUGUAAGCUGUUACAUUUGGAGCCAUUUGUUGCGCAGCAAUGGAUAAAUAAGACUUUUUGUCACUUAUGCAAAACCACAAAGCUCAGCUAGCAGCCAAUUUGUGGAGCACAGGACUUCAAACUCUCCAGUUAAUGUUCUAUGACCACACACAGUGUCCCAGUGUAGCUCGGAUUUCUUUGUGUUGCUGGAAACAGGGACGGAGGUGAUGGUGAUUCCUGUCAGUUGCCAACUCCACACAAUCUAGGAUUACCUGGGAAGAGAGUCUCAAUGCCUAGAUAAAAUUUUGGGUAAGUCUUCAAGGGAUUAUCUUGGUUUUAUUCCUUGGUGUGGGGGGAGCUGCCCACAGUGGGCUGUGGCUUUAAUUUUUUUAAACCUAUUUUAUUUGGAGUUCAUAAACACCUCUACCCCCAUUCAAACCUAUGACCCUAGGUAGGAGAGAAAGAAGGUUGGUAGCGACAAGGGAUAUAGACCUUUUUACAAUUAGUUCCUUAGAGCAAUUUUCCUCCUCCUCAUCAGAAUUUCAACAGUUCAGCAAACAGCAGUGGCCUUCUUUAAGCAUUCUCAGCAGUGUUUCUCUCUAGGACCAUCUCUCUUUCUCUUUCUGCCCUGCUCUUAUUCAUACCCUCUCAGUCUGCACAAGACUGUUUUCCCUCACAAACCACGCCCCCUGCCACGAGGCAGUUUCCAGCUGACAAAGAUUGAUGUGCCCUCUCAGGAAGCUGUUAAGCAUUCCAACAUCUCAUACUUGGGAUUAAGCAAAAGUAUGUUUGCUUUUGUAACAUAAUCAAAACUCCACAGUGGGUGGCACCAUGCCCUAGGCAGGGGGUCCUAAACCGUAAGUGCAGAGCCGGACUAAGUGUAGAGAGGCAUGCCUGCAUUGUCUUCCUCUGCUCUGGACCGUGAAUGUGACUAGAUUCUGCCAUCCUGACUUCCCUGCUAUGAUAAUCUGCUGUGACAGACUGUAAGCCUGGAACUGUGAACGAAAAUCAAUCCUUUCUUCCCUGUUUUCUGUCAGGGUGUUGAAUCACAGCAACAGGAAAAAAGUAAACAUAAAAACUAAGACAACAUCCCUGAAGAAGACUUCCUUGUACCUUGUGGAUAUCUAUUCUUUGCGAAACCAAAAUUGAGAUUCCUGGCCUAAGUGAAUUUCAGGGCGAGGCAACAUGAAGCAGAGCUGACAUUUCUUGGGACAUAUUUAUAAUGCAGAUCUUAAGCACAAGGCUUAAUAGAAACAGGCCAAGGACGAGGUGUGCGCAAGUGCGGGUAUAGACUUCUCCAGGGGUCACACUUAAUUCCUCCCACCCUCCCUCCUCCUUUUCUUCCUUCUCUCCUUUCUUUUUAGAUUUGUUUGUUUUGUUGUACUGUGCCAGUGUUUUGCCUGCAUGUAUGCGUGUGCACUGUGGGGGGGGGGGGUAUGUGUGUGAGAGUGUGUGCAUGUUUGGUGCCCUUGGAGGUCAGAAGAGGGUGCUAGAUCCCCUGGGGCUGGAACUAAAGGGUCACUGUAGUUGCUAUAAAACUUCCUUCCCCAUUUUAACAUUGCUCAGAGUGCAUUGCUUAUAACAAGGUUAAGAAUUUUUCUCUAAACAAAAAGUUAUCAGGCAGAUUUUGGGAGUUUGUGGUAUUGUUUAUAUUUAGGAGUGAGAGAUGAGUGAAGCCUGUACAUGCAUUAUUUGGGCUGGAAGAAAGUAUAGCUUAUUUAGUGUCCUUGACAGUUGGAAAAUAGAUGUUAUCUCUGUGGCAGUUUGGGCUUUAUCAAUGGCACCUGACAUUUCCUGCCUUCUCAGCAGAGAGGGCAGAGCAGAGCCUGGGGUGAAGGGCCUAUGCUCCCCCUACCCCAGUUUCCUCUCCAAGGCACCAUAAUUUUUCAGUCUUCCCACCUUCCUUGUUCGGACUGCACAUCUGUGAUUCAGAAAGUAUUAACAGCACCCAGGAAACAGCUUGUGGCUCAUGGUUUUGCUAUUUCAUAGGAAAAAAAAAAAAGAAAAGAGAGAAAAAAGAAAAGCCCUGCCAUGCUUCCUCCAGGAAUUCAGAGGAGAGUCAGCAGUGUGACUAUUUUCUGUGUCCCCACAACAGUUACAUGUAAGCAUUUCUAGAGGACCCUGUGGCUUUGAGGUUCUGGAAGGUCUGGGAUUAGUGCAAGUGUAUGCAAUCGCUCAUUUGUAAAACCAGAAAAGCAUUUCUACUGGGCCAUUACCCACUGGGCAGGAAUGGGCUCAUGUACCUGGGCUUUUGUUGUGUCUGUGAAAUUCUUCAGUUAGGUCUGACCUUCCUGGUGGUGGAUCAGUGAUGGGAUCUAGCAUCAGCAUUUCUGCCUGUGACCUCAAAACUCGGGAUUCAGAGAAGGGCAAGCUGCCAAAAAGGCACUUUGUGGCUUCUGUUCCUGUGUCACGGUAUCCGCAAUUUGCAUGCAGAUGAGCAGUAUGUCAGAGGAAGGCCUCCAGUGUCUGUGACCCUUUGACUUCUUAUUUGAAUCUCAGGUUUUAAAAUAAAAAUGUGAUUAUGCCUCAUUCAUUUUUCCUGUCUUAAAAAUACAACUAGAAUCAAACUGCCUUUAAAACGCUUGUUGUGUCCCCAUCGAGAAGCUGCUUUUUGAAGAUGAAGACAUGUUUGUCUUUGUAUUGAUCCCAGCAUUCGACCAAACCAGUGAGCACAGAUGGAGGGGUACCUGUUAUUUUAAAAAUGAUGCGCACAACAGAUAUUACAUGAAAGAGGUUUAUUGGGUGGAGGUGGAGAGAGAGGGGAGGAGAGAGAGAGAGAGAUGGUAGGGGAGGGAGCACCACAGAGAAAGGGGAGAGAGCAAGAGAAAGAGAGUGAGGUGAGAGGCAGAGGUCCUUUUUAAUCCCUGUGGGCUUGGCCAAUGAUGACAUCAUAGGUGCCUAAGCAACCUAGAAUUGGGCUAAUGCAUCCACUGACAGUACCCCUAGCGGGGGAGCUGGUAGUGGCUGCUGGCUGGGAGAGGGAGGGCACUGUUCUUCAGGGAGGUGGCUUGCAGGUAGCUUGCAGAGGCCAACUGUACACUGAUGUUCACACAGGAAACCCUCAGUGAGAGUUGAGGUCUGAGUGAGGAACGCUGCCAUUUAUCCCCUCUUCCCCCACAUCUCAGGCAUCUGGACACUUGGUCCCCAGCUGGGGGCAUUGUUGGGGUCCCUCUGGGUGGUGAAGACUUGCUGGAGGAAGUGUGUCUGAGGUGGGCUUUGGUAUUAAGGCACCCAGUUUGUUUUCCUUGCUUUGUGCUGUGGUUGAGGCCGUGAGCUCUGAGUCUGCAGCUCCUGCAGCCUCGCCUCCCUGCUCUUUACCCCCUGAAACCAAACAAUCCCAAGUGAACCCUUCCUGCUGUAAGUCACCUUGAUUGUGGUGUUUUUAUCACAACUAUAGAGAAGUAGCUAAUGCAGUGGAUUAUUUUUUAAGUGGUUAAGAAGUUGGAAAGGGGACAAGGUGGAGGAGGGGUUGGAGUGGGAUAGUAUGUGGAUGAACACAAUCAAAUUACAUUGCAUGUGUGAAUGGAGUUCUCAAAGAAUAAAAUGCUCCAUAAAAAAAGAAUGUGGCGAGAGGAGUCGCAGUCAGUCUGUGUUCACCAGAAUAAGCAUGUUUUAAAAAUAAAUUUCAAUCUCACAAAAUUAAAAUGUGUAGCCAAUUACUCCUUAUUACGUUAGUAAGUUCAUUUGCUGUCAUAUAGUCUUGAAGUUAGGAGAGUCUUUAGGUUUCCCUGAUUUGUUUUGUUUUUUUCUCAUUAUGCUUGAAGAAAUAACUGUCAGUGUUCCCUGGAGUCACUUAUGGUCUUGAGAGUCAGAGACAGUCUUCACUCCCUUGGCAUUCAGCUCUGUCCUGGCUAGAAUCUUGCAAAUUAACUCUGGGCUGAGCUUCCUUGAGACACAAAAUGUCAUUUCACAUUUCAUUGUCAACAAGCUAGUGAUAAGUUGAACUUUUUUGUUACAAAACUGCAACAUAAUUUCAUAUGCAGCAAACAAGAGGAAGACCCAAGCAUCCGCCCCCCUGUGCACACGCCUGAGACAGGGUUUCUCUGUGUAGCCCUGGCUGUCUUGGAACUUGCUCUAGAGUCCAGGCUGGCCUGGAACUCACAAAGAUCCACAUGCCUCUGCCUCCUGAGUGCUGGGGUUAAAGGCAUGCACCACCACUUCUCAGCAUGCCCUCAAUUUUAAGAAAAUAUUUUAUUUUUUUAUUUUAGGUGUAUGACUACUUUCUGAAUGGAUGUGUGUGCACCAGUGCCUGAGGAGGCUAGAAGAGAGCAUCAGACACUGUGAACUGUGGCUCUAGAGGCUGAGCUCGGUGGCAGGCCAGUGCAGCAAGCGCUCGUAACCACCGAGCCAGCUCUCCGCCCAGCCCAGGGCCCUCAGCCAGUGGUGAGGGUCUCUCUAGCUGGCUCAGAAAACUUAGACGUUGCAAAGCAAACGUGGGUAUAUGAAGUAAUUUUAAAAGUUAACCUUAGAAAUGGUUUUACCAAGAAUUUGUUCAUUUACACAUUCAACGUUUGUUGAGUAGCCUACAUGCUGGGGACGUGGAAGGCUAUGGUAAAGGCAGAAGACAAACGCACAGAAAUAAGGCAUGCUGUGUUAAAUUGUAAUGAAAUUCCAGAAAGGAAAAUAAAGCUGAACAGGAGGAUGAAGAAUGACAGACCUGAAAGGGGGGUGUCAGAAAUACAUGUGUGAACAGAGGCAUGCCAGAGGAAGGUCUGUGCAAAGGCAUGCAAGCGUGGUUGGUGGCUAGAAAACUGCCGUAGCUGAUGGGAGCAGCAGAGGGCUGGGAGCAGCAGGGCAGCGGCGCAGGGCCUGCAGACCUGGCGAAGAUGCUGGCUUUCGUUUGGUGAUGUCUGGCUGCCGUGUGAUGAGUCCGGGGGCUGUGGUUGUGGAAAUAGCACCACGAGGAGGCUGUGAGUCUGGGUCCUCCAGAAAGCCAGGAUGACUGAGCCUCGGAAGGGAGCCAUCUGUGGGAAGCCUAGGAAGGGGCGGGGGACAGAACAGGCUGUGAGCCUUCUGACUUCCAGGCAGGUCUGGCCCCAAGGAAGGACGGAGAGGACAAGACAAGUCAGAUGGAAAACGCUUAGAUUGUGGCACGUUUUAAGAAAAAUCAACAAGGCUAAGAGUUCUUAAGUCAAAGUCACACAUCAGGGAAUACCUCCUGUCCUAAGAACGGACCUGUUAAUCCCAGGCUGAGGUAGCUGUGAAGAACCUUGGUCUCAGGGAAAAUAGGAUAGUUUUAGAGUGCAGCUGCUGAGGCCACAGGGCAAUCACACACUGUGGGAGACCUGAAAGGUGCAGAGAUCCUUGCUCUAAAACAGGUGCAGGAGAUGGUGGUCCCCUGGGCUAGGCGGUAGGCAGACCGUGGAACCUUGCUAAUGUGGAUAUUCUGAAGGUUAAACUGACUCCAUUUGCCAGCCGAUGUGGUAUGGAAUUCGAUGGAGGACAAGAGCAACAAAGGCCUUGGUGGUUUCAUACUGUAUCGGAAACAGGUGUUGUUAUUUGCUGAGGCAGUGAAGACAACCUUGGAGGAGAGAGAUGUGCAGUUCCCUUUAAUCUUGUUUGUUCUGAAAUGUAGAGCAGCCUUUCAAAUGGAGGGUGGAGAAGCCAGCGGAAUGUACACGCCUGGCUUCAAGGAAGAGAUCUAAUCUGGAGACAGGAAUUUGAAAAUUACCCGUGCACACGAGCUGCUUACAGAUGUGGGGCCAGCUUAGCUUUUAAAAAUGUGUACCUGGGCGUGCCUCUGUGUAUGUACAUGUGCUCACGUGGGAGUGUGGGCGCCCAUGGGGUCCAGGCGAGUAUGCCAGACACCCUGGACCUGGAAUUACACAUGACUGUGAACUGUCAUCAGGGACUCGAGAACCAAACUCAGGUCCUCUGCACCUGUGCUUCUCCACACUGAGCUCAGCUCAGCUGAUGGAUGUCCAUAGAGCAGAGUUUCUGGUAAUGCCUGAGCUGGAGGAUGCUCUCCCCCAUGGAUGUGGGGACUGGGGGUGGGCACAAGAAGCCAGAACCAGAUUAAAAGCUUUCUGGAACAAUGAAUGCUCAUGCUCUAACCUCCUGCUUUAAUGUGAUGUCCACUGGUUGAGAGUUCUAUUAAUACCUAGAUGAGUGGAGUGGCUUUAAAUAAUUGGAGCUCACUUGGCCUGCAAACACGAUGGCCUUUUUGCUGAGCCCUCAACCUACUGUGCUGAGGGGCCACCUGGGAAGGAGAAAAACAGCUGUGGGUAUGUGAAUUGAAGCCAGGUGCAGAGAGCUCUUGAAGGGUGGGGUGAACUGUUCUGAGAAACAACCAGCUGUAAACUAUCUACAACCAGCUGUAAACUAUAGAGCAAAAGAGACCUGAUUUUCAGGUAUAAAAACCCUGUGCUCUGCAUGUUCGGGGUCGUCUCCUGUCUUUGGAGGGGCGACCCUAUCUCGAUAGCAAUAAAACCUCUUGCUUUUG